RNAcentral lists this ribosomal RNA (468 nucleotides) under uncultured bacterium. RNAcentral's name for it is "partial 16S ribosomal RNA". It matches the Rfam family "Bacterial small subunit ribosomal RNA", at positions 28 to 507 of the family's 1533-position model. The record is from RNAcentral.
GACGAACGCUGGCGGCGUGCUUAACACAUGCAAGUCGAACGGAAAGGCCCUGCUUUUGUGGGGUGCUCGAGUGGCGCACGGGUGAGUAACACGUGUGUAACCUGCCCUUGACUUUGGGAUAACUUCAGGAAACUGGGGCUAAUACCGGAUAGGAGCUCCUGCUGCAUGGUGGGGGUUGGAAAGUUUCGGCGGUUGGGGAUGGACUCGCGGCUUAUCAGCUUGUUGGGGGGGUAGUGGCUUACCAAGGCUUUGACGGGUAGCCGGCCUGAGAGGGUGACCGGCCACAUUGGGACUGAGAUACGGCCCAGACUCCUACGGGAGGCAGCAGUGGGGAAUAUUGCACAAUGGGGGGAAGCCUGAUGCAGCAACGCCGCGUGCGGGAUGACGGCCUUCGGGUUGUAAACCGCUUUCGCCUGUGACGAAGCGUGAGUGACGGUAAUGGGUAAAGAAGCACCGGCUAACUACGUG